Molecule: long non-coding RNA, 331 nt
Organism: Helianthus annuus (common sunflower)
Lineage: Eukaryota; Viridiplantae; Streptophyta; Magnoliopsida; Asterales; Asteraceae
Exons: 2
Source: RefSeq, a predicted model, not a curated record
UGUAAGAAAACUAACGUUACAUAUUUACUUUUCCAUAGAAAACAAGCAAAAUGGUUCAUUUUGUGAGGAGUUUAAGUCGAGAACUAGCUGGAUUUGCACUGUGUGGAAGUUGGAAAGGACAAGCACACAUUGAAGGUGGCUAAGAGAAAGUUGGGUACUCACAAGAGGACAAAGAGGAGAGAAAAAAUGUCCAGCAUACUUCACAAAAUGAGGUUUGGUGGAGACGUGCUGAAAUUAUGUCCGGAGGAAACAUUGACGAUGAAAAUGUUACUAAUAAGACAACCAAUGUGGUGUACAAGGACAUUUUUAGUGAAAUUUGAUUUUUCUUAAA